AAAAUACCCCCUCCAUUUCAAAAUUAUUGUCUUGGAUUUGUCUAAAUAUGAAUAUAUCUAGUCACGUUUUAGUAUGUAGAUGCAUCCAUAUCUAGAAAAAUCUAAGACAAGAAUUUUAGAACGGAUGGAGUACAAU
Non-coding RNA from Hordeum vulgare subsp. vulgare (domesticated barley), 136 nucleotides. Lineage: Eukaryota; Viridiplantae; Streptophyta; Magnoliopsida; Poales; Poaceae. The record is from Rfam.